This is a long non-coding RNA of Anser cygnoides (Swan goose), 2086 nucleotides long. The record is from Ensembl. Lineage: Eukaryota; Metazoa; Chordata; Aves; Anseriformes; Anatidae.
CUCGCUGUAAAGGCACUGGGAGAGGUGUUUUUGUAUCAGCUCCAAAGGAUUUGGAUGAGAGCAAGUGCCCUUUUUACUUUUUGGUUCCUUUUGCCUUGAUAUAAUCCUGCUAUCUGAAACCUCAAGGGGAAAUAUUUCAACACAGAGACAGUCUUCAGUGAUUAAACUGUCACGAAACACAGACGAAGCUGGUAGGGUUGAUUGGCUCUCACUGUGCCUUGACGCAGCUGUGGCUUGGACGAAGCUGAACUGGUUAUGAGUCAAUCAAGGGAGGAUGGGAUUAUGCCAGAGGUCAGGGAACCAGCUAGUUAGAGAAGGAAAGAUGUCUACUUUCUCAUUUUUUUUUUUUUUUUUUUUUAAUGCUGAUAGCAAAGAGGGGAAAAAAAAAAAGUGAAUGUGUCCCUCAGUUGUUACAUUUUUCUGAGUUACAAAAAGUGGAUUAAAUUUAUUUUUAAUGUAAGAAGAUGAAAAAUGCAUGACAGGGGCUGGACAAGCAUCCUUGCUUCCUUCAGAAAAGCUCCGUUUUCAGAAAACAAACCGGGGCUAAAGUUUGGCAGUCACUGGAUGCAAAAGCCUCUGGUUACUGCACUUUUACACCAGUCCAGGAAUACAGGUGUCGCUUUGACCAUCGCUGUAGGGGUUUUUCAGGUGGGAGGGACCAAAGCAGCACCUUCCCUGCACUGCUGGGCCCAUGGCUCUGGUGGGAACGAUGGAGCUGCCUCCUGCUGACAGAUACAUGCCCCAGGGAUGGAGCACUUGCAGAUUUGAAAUUGGACCAAAAACUGGCUCCGGGAAGACCUUCGUCUGAAUAGGACCAAUAACAUCUGGCUAUGUCAGUGGCAGAGCUGCUCGGGCUCUGUAUGCUGCAUUUGCUUGCUCUCAUCUGAAGCAGCAGAGAUUCCCCACAGCUGGAGAUAUUUUUCCCUCCCCUUUCCCUGCCUUCCCAGAAGAAACUGCUGGUCCAUUUGAAGACCUCUCCCCUGCUCACCUCCUCACCGGCCGCACCGUUGCACUGGCCGCAAGAGAUUUCCACAGAGAAACUGCAAAGAAAUUUCCCAGGCUCUCUGCUAUCUUCGUAAGCCCCAGGGACACCCUCCAGCACACACAGGUACCACUGGCUCCUUGCAGCAGCUGCCUGCUGUGCACCUUGUGCUGCAGAGCCAGGAAGGAGAGAGGACAGAUCCUGAUGCUCCGUCUGCAUCCUCAUCUCCAUGUCCAUGUCCAUGUCCAUCUCCAUGUCCAUCUCUUUGCCCACUUCCAUCUCUUUGCCCAGCUCUCAGGUUCACCCUCCCCAUUGUCCAAAAGAAAAGAGAGAGGGAGAGAGAGGGAGAGGGAGAGAGAGGGAGAGAGAAAAAACAAUAAAUGAAUAAAUAACAAAAAAAUACAGACCAACCAACGCCCCUAGCUGUAUAUAUAACAGCUUUCCCAUGGCCCACCAUCCUAGUAGGCCCAAGCCUGCUCCCCUUGGAGAGCUGAACCACUCGGGUGAGAGGGUGGGCAAGGACCCAAGUUUAUAAACAUGGGAUUGAGAGGCCAUCCUACAUUUUUGAGCUGAUUGAGGCAGUUCAGGGAACGCUACGAGCUAGCACUGCCCUCUGUAUCCUACAGGGCACUUCCAGCUUUUAUUGCUGGGAAGUCUGUGCUUUGUAGCCGGGUCUGUGCUGGGAUCCCCAUGGCCACGGGAGAGGUAUGAGGUGAGGGAUAUCUCCAGGCGCCCUUUAGCUCUCAGCUCCCUGCAUCGUUCUGCAGCCUGUCGCAGGGUGACGGGAGGGUUUGGCAAACCUCCCCGAUGCCUUUCUGCUCGGGCUGUGGUGAAUGCACACAGCACUGGCCACAGCUCACGGUCACAUCAGAGAGACAAGCAGUAGGACGGAAGUGAACGUGCUGUUUAUGUGCAUGUUUUGCUGAAAUACGCAUUUAAACAUAAAUAAGUAACAACAGCAAAGUGAGUGGAAGGAGCACAGGCAGGUUUAUCAUUUCAUAUGAUUUUAUAAAUAACUCUGCAAUAUUCCCACUCCACAGCGCUCCUCACACCAGCUUGGAUUCACCACCCUCAGCUUUUUAAUCCUCCUUUGGGAAGCAAGCU